RNAcentral lists this long non-coding RNA (301 nucleotides) under Mytilus galloprovincialis (Mediterranean mussel). Lineage: Eukaryota; Metazoa; Mollusca; Bivalvia; Mytilida; Mytilidae. The record is from RNAcentral.
AGGGAGCUACCAUUUGAUUUGUAUGGGGGGGCUAGGAUGAAAAAUUUUGUCCUGUAUUUUUUUUUAGCUGUAAUCUCUGUCCUGCCUUUUUAUUUUUCACUCUGUUUGGUCCUGCCUUUUUUUUUUUAGUUUAUCCUGACUUUUUUUUACCUAAAUUGUCGUCCUGACUUUUUUUUUUUGCAAGUGUCUCAUCCUGCCUUUUUUUUAACUCAAAACUCCUGUCCUGCCUAUUUUUUUCAAAUUUCAUCCUAGCCCCCCCAUAAAAAUCAAAUGGUAGCUCCCUAACUUGGUCUUAUUUCUA